GUGUGUGUGUGUGUGUGUGUGUGUGUGUGUGUGUGUGUGUGUAUGUGUGUGUGUGUGUGUGUGAUUCCCACUUUGAGGUACUUCAGAUGAGAGUACGGUUCUGUAAUAUAAGGGCAGGGAGAGAAUGGAGUCUUCCCUCCCUGCUGGGUCUGAACCAAAGUAAGGUAAAGAUGGAGUUCUUCUCUGGAUAUGGAUAGCACUCUUUCUCAUAAGUUCCUCUGGACUGCUACUAGUAGAAAAGUCUGUUACAUUUGAUUGUGCCACAAUGGUUCAGUUAAUGAAUAAUAAUUUGAAAGCAAGCAAUAAUAUCUGUUUCUGCUCACUAAAAUAGUUACCAAGGUAAGUUUUUCU
This 351-nucleotide long non-coding RNA is filed under the name Monodelphis domestica (gray short-tailed opossum). Its description in RNAcentral is "lncRNA (ENSMODG00000039056.1)". The record is from RNAcentral. Lineage: Eukaryota; Metazoa; Chordata; Mammalia; Didelphimorphia; Didelphidae.